CCUACGGGUGGCAGCAGUGAGGAAUAGUGGUCAAGGGGCGCGAGCCUGAACCAGCCAAGUAGCGUGAAGGAUGACUGCCCUACGGGUUGUAAACUUCGUUUAUAAAGGAAUAAAGUGAGGCACGUGUGCCUUUUUGUAUGUACUUUAUGAAUAAGGAUCGGCUAACUCCGUGCCAGCAGCCGCGGUAAUACGGAGGAUCCGAGCGUUAUCCGGCUUUAUUGGGUUUAAAGGGAGCGUAGAGGGGUUGUUAAGUCAGUUGUGAAAGUUUGCGGCUCAACCGUAAAAUUGCAAUUGAUACUGGCAGUCUUGCGUACAGUUGAGGUCGGCUGACUUCGUGGUGUCGCGG
Molecule: ribosomal RNA, 346 nt
Filed under: uncultured bacterium
Lineage: Bacteria
Description: partial 16S ribosomal RNA
Rfam family: Bacterial small subunit ribosomal RNA
Source: RNAcentral